AUCGACUACGCAUGCAGAGUCAGGUGUCUUCGGACGCGGGUAUACGGCUCAGUAACACGUAGGUAACCUACCCUCAGGACUGAGAUAACCCCGGGAAACUGGGGCUAAUAUUAGAUAGAUAAAAGAUACUGGAAUGUUCUUUUAUCCAAAGCUUUUGCGCCUGAGGAUGGGCCUGCGUCCGAUUAGGUUGUUGGGGGGGUAAUGGCCCACCAAGCCUGCGAUCGGUACGGGCGGUGGGAGCUGAAGCCCGGAGUUGGGGACUGAAACAAGGCCCCAGGCCCUACGGGGGGCAGCAGGCGCAAAACCCUUGCAUUGCGGGAAAACCGUGACAGGGGGAUCCAAAGUGCUCAUGCUUUGCUGGGCCUGUCCUUUGGCCUAGGAAACCGAGGAAGU
RNAcentral lists this ribosomal RNA (393 nucleotides) under uncultured methanogenic archaeon. RNAcentral describes it as "bacterial SSU rRNA". It matches the Rfam family "Archaeal small subunit ribosomal RNA", at positions 39 to 436 of the family's 1478-position model. The record is from RNAcentral. Lineage: Archaea; Methanobacteriati; Methanobacteriota.